GAAGCUGACCAGACAGUCGCCGCUUCGUCGUCGUCCCUUUCGGGGGAGACGGGCGGAGGGGAGGAAAGUCCGGGCUCCAUAGGGCAGGGUGCCAGGUAACGCCUGGGGGGGAAACCCACGACCAGUGCAACAGAGAGCAAACCGCCGAUGGCCCACGCAAGUGGGAUCAGGUAAGGGUGAAAGGGUGCGGUAAGAGCGCACCGCGCGGCUGGUAACAGUCCGUGGCACGGUAAACUCCACCCGGAGCAAGGCCAAAUAGGGGUUCA
Molecule: RNase P RNA, 266 nt
Filed under: Leclercia adecarboxylata
Lineage: Bacteria; Pseudomonadati; Pseudomonadota; Gammaproteobacteria; Enterobacterales; Enterobacteriaceae
Description: partial RNase P RNA component class A
Rfam family: Bacterial RNase P class A
About the family: Ribonuclease P (RNase P) is a ubiquitous endoribonuclease, found in archaea, bacteria and eukarya as well as chloroplasts and mitochondria.
Source: RNAcentral